Molecule: long non-coding RNA, 226 nt
Filed under: Malus domestica (apple)
Lineage: Eukaryota; Viridiplantae; Streptophyta; Magnoliopsida; Rosales; Rosaceae
Description: long non-coding RNA (MDOM_LNC013493)
Source: RNAcentral
AUAUCGUCAUAAGCCGCUAACUUAGCUUCUCUCACAGCUUUCUUCGGCUCUUGCUUUGCUCUUCUAUACCUUUCACCAUUUUCAUCGGUCCUAUCCUUGUAUAAGGCUUUACAACAUUCCUUCUUAGCCUUCACCUUUGUUUGUACCUCCUUAUUCCACCACCAAGAUUCCUUUUGGUGUGGAGCAAAGCCCUUGGACUCUCCUAAUACCUCUUUUGCUACUUUUC